GCACUGAAAGUAAAUUUAAAGGUGCCUUUUAAUGCCACAGUUUCAAUGGAAAUUGUUUGUGAUCUUUCCUAUUCGCUCUACAUUCUGAAAAGGCCCAUAUGGGGAUAUAAGGCAUUUUUUUGCUGCACAACCUUUCAGUACAAAAUUUGCAUAGCGUAGCAGAAUAGCAUUGGUGGGACAUUGAUAUUGUAACAUGGUUUUGCUUGGCACCAAACAUUAUUUCAACUCUUGCUAGAAAUGUCUAAUGUAUUUCUCAUUUAUUCUCACAGCAAGAACCACAACCACGCACACCACCACAACACACUCCACAAAAUGUUUCUGUCGUCAUGGUAGAAACCAUUACAGACCAGGUCAAAGAAUAAGUAGUGAAAGCAGUGAAAGCGAUGGACUGUGCUGGAAUAUUGACUGUGCUGACAAUUGUCAGACUACAACAACUAAAGGGCCUUGUGAAUCGACAUCAUCGAAAACAACAAAAACUACAACACGUAAGUCGUUGGCACCAAACACACUUUUGCUUCGUUUUUACAACAUUCUUCCGAAAUGAUACAGCCAGAAUUGAUUAUUGUUUCUUGAGCUGAUGUACACCAAUAUGUUAGUGGCAAAUACAGAAAUAUGUAAAAAACAAAAAAGAUAUGCGGUUUUCCUUUCAACCUGUUUGUAUUGUGUUAAAGGAGAAAUUCACAUUUCAAUGAAGUUAUCAUAGGUUGUGAACGGCAUAUCGAGAUUUCCAAACAGCAGACUUGUUUUAGUUUAAUUACGUCCUAGCAACCAGAUAACAGUCAAAAUUCAAGCCAUUAGAAAGGUAGAAUUUUCAAUUUCAAAAAAAAGGAUGAAUUGCAAAUUGUCCGACAAUAAGGUCUCUUCAAUGCACUGAAAGUAAAUUUAAAGGUGCCUUUUAAUGCCACAGUUUCAAUGGAAAUUGUUUGGGAUCUUUCCUAUUCGCUCUACAUUCUGAAAAGGCCCAUAUGGGGAUAUAAGGCAUUUUUUUGCUGCACAACCUUUCAGUACAAAAUUUGCAUAGCGUAGCAGAAUAGCAUUGGUGGGACAUUGAUAUUGUAACAUGGUUUUGCUUGGCACCAAACAUUAUUUCAACUCUUGCUAGAAAUGUCUAAUGUAUUUCUCAUUUAUUCUCACAGCAAGAACCACAACCACGCACACCACCACAACACACUCCACAAAAUGUUUCUGUCGUCAUGGUAGAAACCAUUACAGACCAGGUCAAAGAAUAAGUAGUGAAAGCAGUGAAAGCGAUGGACUGUGCUGGAAUAUUGACUGUGCUGACAAUUGUCAGACUACAACAACUAAAGGGCCUUGUGAAUCGACAUCAUCGAAAA
Xenopus laevis (African clawed frog) is the source of this 1334-nucleotide long non-coding RNA. RefSeq lists it as uncharacterized. Lineage: Eukaryota; Metazoa; Chordata; Amphibia; Anura; Pipidae. The transcript is spliced from 3 exons. The record is from RefSeq and is a predicted model, not a curated record.